CAUGCUACCGUGUACCCGGAAGGAAACUUUCGGGGAUCCGCAAGGAUGGUAGCACAAGGUGCUGCAUGGCUGUCGUCAGCUCGUUCCGUGAGGAGUGCCCUUAAGUGGGACAACGAGCGCAACCCCUAUCCUGUGUUAGAAAUGUCACAGGAGACAGCCCCGACGUUACGUCGGGGAGGAAGGAAGGGUAGACGUCAAGUCAGCAUGGUCCUUAUGCCCUGGGCGACACACAUGUUACAAUGGGAAGGACAAUGGGCUUUGCCACACCGCAAGGUGGAGCUAAUCCCCAAAUCUUCCCUCAGUGGGGAUUGAGGUCUGCAACUCGACCUCAUGAACGCGGAAUUGGUAGUAAUCGCGGAUCAGCCAUGCCGCGGUGAAUACGUUCUUGCCUCUUGCACACACCGCCCGUCAAGCCAACAAAGUCGGGGAUGGUUGAACUCCGCCUGUGGCGGGGGAAAUCAUUCCCGGCGAUGGGGGUUAAGUCGUAACAAGGUAAC
This 497-nucleotide ribosomal RNA is filed under the name uncultured Microgenomates group bacterium. Its description in RNAcentral is "bacterial SSU rRNA". It matches the Rfam family "Bacterial small subunit ribosomal RNA", at positions 985 to 1500 of the family's 1533-position model. The record is from RNAcentral.